RNAcentral lists this ribosomal RNA (488 nucleotides) under Macrolibnetis sp. UPOL 000L21. RNAcentral describes it as "partial large subunit ribosomal RNA". Lineage: Eukaryota; Metazoa; Arthropoda; Insecta; Coleoptera; Lycidae. The record is from RNAcentral.
CAUGUCUUUUUGAUAAUAAUUUAAGGUUUGAUCUGCUCAAUGAUUAAUUAAAUUGCCGCAGUAUUUUGACUGUGCUAAGGUAGCAUAAUCAUUAGCUUCUUGAUUAGGAGCUGGAAUGAAUGAUUGGACGAGAGAUUUUCUGUCUCUUUUUAAUGGUGUUUUUAAUUUUAUUUUUAAGUGAAAAAGCUUAAGUUUUAUUAAAAGACGAGAAGACCCUAUAGAGUUUAAUAUUUUUUUAUUAUGAUUUUUAGUAAUUUGUUUAAUGUUUAAAUAUUUAGUUGGGGUGACUUGGAGAUAUAAAUAAUUCUUUAAAUUUUAUGUUGAUGAUAGUUAAUUUUAAAUUUUAAUUUUUUUAGGUUUAAUUAAAUUACCUUAGGGAUAACAGCGUAAUUUUUCUUAGAAGUUCUUAUUUAAAGGAAAGUUUGCGACCUCGAUGUUGGAUUAAAAUUUAUUUUAGGCGUAGUAGCUUAUAAAUUAGGUCUGUUCGC